CAUAGAUGCCGGAUGCGCAGUGGGGAGAGAAGGCGCUCACCUCAUUCUGCUUUUUUCUUCCAUCAAGGCUUCAUCCCAAGCUGGAAGCAGCAGGUUCUAAAUCCCGUGGACAAACUUCAAGAUGGAGGGAUCUGGUUGCUUGUCCACUGAAUUCCCACACUGGACUAUUGCACAAGAGAGAAAUGAACUUUUUGUUAUUGUGGUGACAGGAGGCUGAAAUGAGAGAAGAGUUGUCCGUUCUGCUGGAUCGGGUUACUGCUAACUGUGCAUCACACAAGUCAUUCGUAGUGCUUGGUAAAAAGAAGGAUUCCUGGGCCUCUUUCCUGAAAAUUCUGUCAGUAGUUCUAAGGAGCAACCUGGGAUCCAUGUUGUUAACACAUGUCAUGGACUCCCGUGCCUGGCCACACCUGGGAGACCCCACCCUCAUCUGUCCAGAUGUCCUACCUGCGAUCUUGGAUAAGUUGCUUCACUUUCACAUUUUAUCUCCCUGGAAUACAGAGGAUAAAAUUUAUGAUCUAUGAAACAAAUGUCUGCUGAGAUGAAGGUGAUGCCCAUGAAAACAGCCAAACUCCUUACAUCAUGAGAUUUACAUACAAGCCCCAAUGAUGAUGAUAAUUAAUUACUGUUAGUAUCUGUGCUCUGGAUUGCUAUUUUAUGUUUUAAAAUUCACUUUAUCAAAAAACAAACCCACUUCAUUUUAAAAGGGGAGGGUGGGGGUAAAAAACAAGUUCUAUGUUUCCAUGGAAAGCUUUUCUAAGAAUUUCUGCUGCGCUGAUGGGUGUUUAGCAGGGAGCUCACACUGAGCUGACCGUCCACCCAUGACAAGUACGGCUGCUUCCAGAAUGUAGAGAGCAGGGCAGGAGCCACAGGGAAGCUCCACAGGUGAGUCCAGUAGCUAGAGGUGAGGGCAAUUUAACACAAGGAUAUUCAGGCAGCAACUGGUUCUGUGGCAGAUUACCAUAUGGAACGGGGACGGAUGUAAGAGAUUCACUUUGCAUGAGAACUAUCUUCUGCAGUCCAGCUGGCUCUGCACCACUUUAUUUUCUGUUCAGCUCACAGGUCCCAUCCUUCUCUCUGAAUAUUCUAAAAUCUUUCACACCAAAAUGCCAACUACAGCCAAGCCCUCUAUGUAACUCAAAAGUCAAACUGCUUCUUGUCCCUGAUUGCAAUUUUCUUCUAUAUCCAUUAUCCAAACACAGAGAGCAUUUCCCUCUAUAUCCAUAAUCAAACAAAGAGGGCAAACCACGUAGAGGCUUAUUUCCUGGGAAAUAAUCCGAGUAGUUAAGAAAACUUGUUUGAAUGACAUCACGAGUUUUCUAAAAUAUCUUAGAAGUAAAUCUUGAUAUUUUCUAAGGAAUAAUUUGAAGAAUUCUUUUAAUCUGAAAGUUUCUCUAUGAAAUAGAGGGGAGUGGAGGGAGAUCAAUACAUUUAGAUCACAAGUUUUCUGCUUACUUUCUGGAGAACAUUCUAAUUUUUAAAAUAUCAGGUCCCAAAAGGGAAAGCAUAUUCACCAAAAAGAGAGAUGAAAAUGUAAAGGGAUGGAUGUUAAUUAGAUGGGUGGAAUCCUUUCACUAUGUAUGUGCUGUGCUUAGCUCAGUUGUGUCUGACUCUUUGCGACCAAAUGGACUAUAGCCCACCAGGUUCCUCUGUCCACGGGGAUUCUCCAGGCAAGAAUACUGGAGUGGG
This is a long non-coding RNA of Cervus elaphus (red deer), 1686 nucleotides long. RefSeq lists it as uncharacterized. Lineage: Eukaryota; Metazoa; Chordata; Mammalia; Artiodactyla; Cervidae. The record is from RefSeq and is a predicted model, not a curated record. The transcript is spliced from 3 exons.